RNAcentral lists this ribosomal RNA (419 nucleotides) under uncultured bacterium. RNAcentral's name for it is "bacterial SSU rRNA". It matches the Rfam family "Bacterial small subunit ribosomal RNA", at positions 31 to 495 of the family's 1533-position model. The record is from RNAcentral.
GUACGCUGGCGGCACGCCUAACACAUGCAAGUCGAACGAAGUAGCAAUACUUAGUGGCAGACGGGUGAGUAACAUGUAGGUAUCUGCCCUUUGGCCUGGAAUAACACGAGGAAACUUGUGCUAAUACUGGAUAAGUCUUUACGGAGAAAGCUUUAUGCACCAUUGGAUGAGCCUGCACUUGAUUAGUUUGUUGGUAGGGUAAUGGCCUACCAAGACUGUGAUCAAUAGCUGAUUUGAGAGGAUGAUCAGCCACAUUGGGACUGAGACACGGCCCAAACUCCUACGGGAGGCAGCAGUGGGGAAUCUUGCACAAUGGAGGAAACUCUGAUGCAGCGAUGCCGCGUGAGUGAAGAAGGCCUUUGGGUUGUAAAGCUCUUUCGUCGGGGAAGAAAAUGACUGUACCCGAAUAAGAAGGUCCG